Molecule: unclassified non-coding RNA, 230 nt
Filed under: Hevea brasiliensis (rubber tree)
Lineage: Eukaryota; Viridiplantae; Streptophyta; Magnoliopsida; Malpighiales; Euphorbiaceae
Source: RNAcentral
GGCAAAUUAAAGUAACAUAACAUAACAUAUAUGCUUCUAUAUAUCAUUGUGAUUUCUUGUUCACAUUAUAUGCUUGUGGAUAUCCAGGAUCAAGCUUAUCAAAGAAAGCCAAUUCUUGUACGCUCAACGAUUUAAAUGGUUCAUUCAAUGGUGGCAAUAACUUAGUUUGUGGAUUAAAUUGCGUCCCCUCCUCAAUAUUUUGAGAAUUAUUGCACAAACUUAUAACCUUG